CCUACGGGGUGCAGCAGUGAGGAAUAUUGGUCAAUGGACGAGAGUCUGAACCAGCCAAGUAGCGUGAAGGAUGGCUGCCCUAUGGGUUGUAAACUUCUUUUAUAUGGGAAUAAAACGUUCCACGUGUGGGAUUUUGUAUGUACCAUAUGAAUAAGGAUCGGCUAACUCCGUGCCAGCAGCCGCGGUAAUACGGAGGAUCCGAGCGUUAUCCGGAUUUAUUGGGUUUAAAGGGAGCGUAGGUGGAUUGUUAAGUCAGUUGUGAAAGUUUGCGGCUCAACCGUAAAAUUGCAGUUGAAACUGGCAGUCUUGAGUACAGUAGAGGUGGGCGGAAGUCGUGGUGUAGCGGUGAAAUGCUUAGAUAUCACGAAGAACUCCGAUUGCGAAGGCAGUUCACUGGACUGCAACUGACACUGAGGCUCGAAAGUGUGGGUAUCAAACAGGAUUAGAUACCCGAGUAGUC
Molecule: ribosomal RNA, 460 nt
Filed under: uncultured bacterium
Lineage: Bacteria
Description: partial 16S ribosomal RNA
Rfam family: Bacterial small subunit ribosomal RNA
Source: RNAcentral